CUGUUCGGACAUUUGGAAAACUUGGCUAGUGCAUCAAUUCAGUAUCAAUGACAGUGGAGAGAUGAUCAUGGGUGACAAGCAGCUCUCCUGAAUGGUAAAGGAAAAAAAAAUACAGCCAUCAAAAAGUUCAAGCAGCAGGAGGCUCUAAAGAAGAGAAGUGGCACAUAACCUGACCUAGAAACUAGGGAGAAUAGAAGAAGCUUAUUUUGUUCUGUUGAUCCAGAUGCUGAAAAUGCACAACACAUGGAAAUGGAUGCCUCAGGAGGAAUUAGAGAGGGAACAUUAAAUGGUCUGAAUUGCGGCAAUGAGUCCUUCUGAUUUUUUCCGCAAAUGCUGCUGAAUUAGGAGCGCCAAGAGAGAUGGGCAAAGUGUUGGUCUUGGCCUGUAGGGAACUCUGCCUGCAGGUGUCGCAGCGCUGAAGAUCUCAAGUGCCCGCGAUGUGCACUCUUCAUUUGGCUCAUUUAUCCUUGCAUGUGCAAAAUUAACCGGCAGUUUUGCAUAAACUGUAGAAGUUGGUUAUUAUCCCCACAAAAGAGGUGGUUAAUGGUUAUUAUC
Molecule: long non-coding RNA, 555 nt
Organism: Lolium rigidum
Lineage: Eukaryota; Viridiplantae; Streptophyta; Magnoliopsida; Poales; Poaceae
Exons: 3
Source: RefSeq, a predicted model, not a curated record